Molecule: long non-coding RNA, 986 nt
Filed under: Homo sapiens (human)
Lineage: Eukaryota; Metazoa; Chordata; Mammalia; Primates; Hominidae
Description: HSALNT0390153
Source: RNAcentral
CUGGUCUCGAACUCCCGACCUCAGGUGAUCCACCCUCCUCGGCCUCCCAAAGUGCUGGGAUUACAGGCGUGAGCCGCCACACCUGGCUAAUUUUUGUAUUUUUAGUAGAGAUGGAGUUUCACCACAUUGGCCAGGCUAGUCUCGAACUCCUGGUUUCAGGUGAUCCGCCCUCCUCGGCCUCCCAAAGUGCUGAAAUUACAGGUGUGAGCCAUUGUACUUGGCUCUCCUUGUGUUUUUUACAGGACAAGAUUUCCAGCCUCUCCCAUUCUCCCAUUCUCCUGGUAGCUCUCCAGGAGCUACCCCUUUGAUCUGUCCACAUCCUUCUUAAAAUGUGGGGACCCAUGGGGAACCUGAGAUUCUGCAGAUGCCAGCCCAGUGCUGUGUGGUUAACAAUUUGGAUCCUAGCAUUAAGACCCCGGGUUCAAAUCCUUGCUCCACUGUAGGCCAGCUGUGUGACCAUGGUUAAAAACAUCUACCUUACUGAGCUCUAAUGUCAUCAUCUAAGUUAUUGUGAGGAUUGUACUGACCCACACUUUCUAUCUGCCCAAUCCCUUGAGGUGGGCUCAACCUGGGUUGGCAAUGGUUGGGCAAGGGAGAGCGAUCAAAACAGCAAACUGUCACACUGCUGAUAAGCCAAGCAGAGACACAGCCACCAUUAGGAGAAGGGGCUCUUCCAUCUCUAUCUAUCAGGCUUUUCUCUCAUGGAGCUGUAACCCCUGGUAAAGGAGGUGAGGAACUUGCUGGGGGGAGCACACAAACACCUGCUGAUGUGCCUGACUUGGAUACCCAGGAAGUUGCUGGCUUUCUCUUCCUUUCCCCAACAUUUUUAUUUGUUUGUUUGAGGCAGAGUCUUGCUCUGUCACCCAGCCUGGAGUGCAAAGGCGUGAUCUUGGCUGAGUGCAAUGGCAUGAUCUUGGCUCACUGCAACCUCCGCCUCCUGAGUUCAAGCACUUCUCCUGCCUCAGCCUCCCAAGUAGCUAGGAUUA